This 725-nucleotide long non-coding RNA is filed under the name Marmota monax (woodchuck). Lineage: Eukaryota; Metazoa; Chordata; Mammalia; Rodentia; Sciuridae. The record is from RNAcentral.
UUUUAUUCCAAGAAGAGAUCACUGGGGUGAAGACGGUAUAUCUUUGAAAUCACUAAAGAAAAACUCAGUCUGUAACUUCUGUGAUGAUGAUGAUUAUGAUAAUGACCAUGAUGAUGAUUAGAGGAGGAGGAGGAAGAACAGAAAGAAAAGGAGGAGGAUAAGAAAGAGAGGGAGAAUCUAACACAGAUGGAAUACAUCCGGUGUGGGAGGCCAGACCCUGCAUAUAUUAGCUCCUUUAGCCCUCAUGACAGCAUAGCCUUGUAGGUGCUGUUGCUGGCUCUACUUUGUAGGAUGAAGAGCUGCCAUGUGGCCCCAAGGGUUCUGGGUUCAAAUUCUCACAUUUCUCUAGGCAAGUUGCUUGAGCUUCUGGGAUUAAGUGAAUCCAUACUGAGAACAGUAUCUUGCACACAGUAAGAGCUACAUAUGUGUUGGCCAUUAGUAUUAUUUCAGAGAAGUAAACCAAGGCAAAGGGAGGCAGAUAACCUGUCCACGUUUACACAAAGAGUAAGAAGCUGGCUAGCUUUAACCCUAACCUGCGGGCUCCACAGCCUCCAGGCUUGACAAGCCGUGCUUUCGUUCUUCGUGGAAAAAGGCUGAGAAUCUGCUGAAUUAAAAAAGUCCUGUUUGUUGGCUUUGAACUGAUGCCUCUCAGAUCUCUGUCUAGGGAAAGCACAAUCAAUGAUAGCCCCAGAUGCUACACUCUAAAUCCAGUCCCACAGUUGAGC